UGGGAUGUCUUUUGCAUCUGGAGUUCAUCCACAUGCUGUAGCUUGAGAAAUCUGGUUGGGAUAUCUUGGUGCAUUUGGAUGUUCACAGAGGUUUAUAUAUAAAUCGACACAAGAUGCCAAAAGUUUUAUCAUCCAAAUAACUCACGAACAACCUAUCUGAACAAGAAGAAACCUUUGGUGUUUGGUUGAAUUGUUCCUUCGACAUAUACACGGAUUUGAGACCCAACACCUACUUUGAAGUUAUGUGUGUGAGAAGAUAUAUAGAGAGAAAUUUCGAUUUCCUUGUUUGUUUGUUUGUCCAAAAAAUGAAAUAUAUGUGGGAAUUAUGAGAAAAACUAGUUGUCCAUUUUUACAUAUCCAAGAAUUCUCCUGUAAUGUUUGUUAUAGAAUAGCUGAACUAUUGUCUCAUAUAAGGAAAAGGUCACGAUGCAUUCUGGA
Long non-coding RNA from Andrographis paniculata, 438 nucleotides. RefSeq lists it as uncharacterized. The record is from RefSeq and is a predicted model, not a curated record. Lineage: Eukaryota; Viridiplantae; Streptophyta; Magnoliopsida; Lamiales; Acanthaceae. The transcript has 2 exons.